RNAcentral lists this transfer RNA (60 nucleotides) under Morphostenophanes sinicus. RNAcentral describes it as "tRNA-Cys". The record is from RNAcentral. Lineage: Eukaryota; Metazoa; Arthropoda; Insecta; Coleoptera; Tenebrionidae.
GGCCUAAUAGUCAAGGAUGAUAUUAAAUUGCAAGUUUAAAGGUAAAAAGUUUUUAGGCUU